GGUGGAGUGGCCGAGUGGUUAGGCUGCGGCAUGCAACGCCGUACAGACAGGUUCGACUCCUGUCUCCACCU
RNAcentral lists this transfer RNA (71 nucleotides) under Streptomyces sp. 846.5. It matches the Rfam family "tRNA". From Rfam's summary of the family: Transfer RNA (tRNA) molecules are approximately 80 nucleotides in length. Lineage: Bacteria; Bacillati; Actinomycetota; Actinomycetes; Kitasatosporales; Streptomycetaceae. RNAcentral also lists the same sequence under 1 other name. The record is from Rfam by way of RNAcentral.